GUUCUCGUAGUGUAGCGGUUAUCACAUCUGCUUUACACGCAGAAGGUCCCUGGUUCGAGACCAGGCGGGAACA
This 73-nucleotide transfer RNA is filed under the name Mayetiola destructor (Hessian fly). Its description in RNAcentral is "tRNA-Val for anticodon UAC". It matches the Rfam family "tRNA". From Rfam's summary of the family: Transfer RNA (tRNA) molecules are approximately 80 nucleotides in length. Their secondary structure includes four short double-helical elements and three loops (D, anti-codon, and T loops). Further hydrogen bonds mediate the characteristic L-shaped molecular structure. tRNAs have two regions of fundamental functional importance: the anti-codon, which is responsible for specific mRNA codon recognition, and the 3' end, to which the tRNAs corresponding amino acid is attached (by aminoacyl-tRNA synthetases). tRNAs cope with the degeneracy of the genetic code in two manners: having more than one tRNA (with a specific anti-codon) for a particular amino acid; and 'wobble' base-pairing, i.e. permitting non-standard base-pairing at the 3rd anti-codon position. The record is from RNAcentral. Lineage: Eukaryota; Metazoa; Arthropoda; Insecta; Diptera; Cecidomyiidae.